RNAcentral lists this transfer RNA (73 nucleotides) under Trichonephila clavata. It matches the Rfam family "tRNA". Rfam says of the family: Transfer RNA (tRNA) molecules are approximately 80 nucleotides in length. Their secondary structure includes four short double-helical elements and three loops (D, anti-codon, and T loops). Lineage: Eukaryota; Metazoa; Arthropoda; Arachnida; Araneae; Nephilidae. The record is from Rfam by way of RNAcentral.
GCCGCUAUAGCUCAGUGGCUAGAAUGUUGGUCUCGUAAUCCAAAGGUCGCGAGUUCGAAUCUCGUUGGCGGCA